Molecule: long non-coding RNA, 921 nt
Filed under: Homo sapiens (human)
Lineage: Eukaryota; Metazoa; Chordata; Mammalia; Primates; Hominidae
Description: non-protein coding lnc-DOK7-6:1
Source: RNAcentral
ACUUUGCUAAACUCCUCUGAAUCCUCAGAAUUUCCCUGUGGAUUAUGUAGACUCUUCUGCAUACACAACCAUAUCAUCUGUGAAUAAAGACAGUUUUGUUUUCUUCUUCACAAACUUUACCCAACUCACUGUGCAGUCUGCCACAUCCAGGCUGAUAUUGAAUAGCAGCGGCACCAAUAGGUGUCUUUGUCCCCUUGCCAAUCUUGUAAAGAAAGCUUUCAACAUUUUCCUGUUAGCUGUGUUGGCAGCUCUGACUCCAGCAUGACCCUGUCUGCAUGUCGCCUCUCCAGUGUGACCCUAUCAAACUUCCCCCUGGCCCCUGCCCCUGGGGAGGUGGCCUUCUCUCUGCCAUGCUGCCUGCUGUUCUCUUGCAAGGUGUCUUCAGACUUUCUUUCCUACAGCAACCAGGGUGCUUGGAGCAACCAAUUGCCCCCCCUUACCUGGUAGGGAUGCUAGGAGGGAGAGCGAGCCAUCAUGCCCGGGCUUAAACCAGCAAGCCUGAUUCUGAAUGUCCACAAGCUCUUGGCUGGUGGGGCCACAGGACUGGGACCCAAGCCUCCUGGCGACAUGGGUGAGGCCAUCUGUCAUCGGUCCUUCUCUCAGGCCACCUGGUUCCCUGUGACUCACUUGGUGUUGGCCAGGUGCAUGGAUGCAGAUCUGAGCAGACAGUCCCUGUGUCCCCAGUCUGGUUGGGGGUGCAGGGGUCUGGAGCCCAUGUGAGCCUGGUGAGAGCCUGGGAAGGAACCACUUUUUCCAUGGCAGAGCUGAGUGCAAAGCACGCUGUUGCACUGCUCUGGUGGUGGCAUUUUACUCUGUAACCUAUUCAUCCACACACUCAUGUAUUUCUCCACCCACCCAUUCAUCUACUUAUCCACCCAUUCACCCAUCCAUCCACUUAUCCAUCCACCCAUCUACACAUCC